Pantherophis guttatus is the source of this 711-nucleotide non-coding RNA. Lineage: Eukaryota; Metazoa; Chordata; Lepidosauria; Squamata; Colubridae. The record is from RefSeq and is a predicted model, not a curated record.
UCAAAGGCUUUUCAAAGAAAAAAAGCCUUUUUUUCUUUUAAAUGCCUCUGACGAUCCAUUUGAGUUGCCUGAUCGGCGAGAAAGGUCGUAAAACGGGGUAAAAACUCACUUGUCUUGCUUAGCAACGGAAAUCAUGGCUCAACCGUGGUCGUAAUUGGAGGACUAACUGUACUGACACCAGAAUGACGAAAGCAGCAUUGUGGUAUCCUGUUGCAAGCUCUGCCGUUUCUGGGCUUGAAAUGUUGCAAUGUAUAUCGAACAGGGGGAGGGUCUGGGGUUGCAAUGCAGCAUUGGCUUCUUUCAGCCUAACCCCCUUGUUGUUUCCCCCCACCCCAUUCUCCAGUUCUGCUGUGCCUUCAGGGAAACCCACAAAAGAAAGACUUUGUUGAACAGAAUUCACUGUCUGGCCACUGAUCUCUGCCACCAUGUCAUCCCUGCUCCUUCAGGGGCAACUAAUUCAUCAUAAAUCCUCACUGGAAGCCUGCAUGUGAUGCAAUUUCUUCUAACUUUAUUUUGAUGAGAAAUAGAUGUAUUUUAGAAUCUCUAAACUCCCUAAUCAAUAAACUCAAUUUACUAUCCUAGCCAUACUGAGAACAUUUUGUGUAUUCUGCUGAUUAUAACUUCUAUUUAACAAUAACUUUGUGUGAACAAAUAAAUAUACCAUGGUUGUUUCCAUUUAGACCAAUAUCAAUAAAACUCAAUGCUGAUUUA